RNAcentral lists this ribosomal RNA (253 nucleotides) under uncultured bacterium. Its description in RNAcentral is "partial 16S ribosomal RNA". It matches the Rfam family "Bacterial small subunit ribosomal RNA", at positions 524 to 776 of the family's 1533-position model. The record is from RNAcentral.
GACGUAGGGUGCAAGCGUUGUCCGGAUUUAUUGGGCGUAAAGAGCUCGUAGGCGGCUUGUUGCGUCGACUGUGAAAACCCGCGGCUUAACCGCGGGCUUGCAGUUGAUACGGGCAGGCUAGAGUUCGGUAGGGGAGACUGGAAUUCCUGGUGUAGCGGUGAAAUGCGCAGAUAUCAGGAGGAACACCAAUGGCGAAGGCAGCUCGCUGGGACGGUACUGACGCUGAGACGCGAAAGCGUGGGGAGCAAACAGG